GAUGAAGAACGCAGCGAAAUGCGAUAAGUAAUGUGAAUUGCAGAAUUCCGUGAAUCAUCGAAUCUUUGAACGCACAUUGCGCCCUCUGGUAUUCCGGGGGGCAUGCCUGUCCGAGCGUCAUUUGUACCUUCAAGCUUUGCUUGGUGUUGGGUGUUUGUCUCGCCUUUGCGUGUAGACUCGCCUUAAAAUAAUUGGCAGCCGGCGUAUUGAUUUCGGAGCGCAGUACAUCUCGCGCUUUGCACUCAUAACGACAGCGUCCAAAAGUACAUUUUACACUCUUGACCUCGGAUCAGGUAGGGAUACCCGCUGAACUUAAGCAUAUCAAUAAGCGGAGGA
This 336-nucleotide unclassified non-coding RNA is filed under the name soil metagenome. RNAcentral describes it as "partial contains 5.8S ribosomal RNA, internal transcribed spacer 2, and large subunit ribosomal RNA". The stretch from base 1 to 120 matches the Rfam family "5.8S ribosomal RNA", at positions 35 to 154 of the family's 154-position model. The record is from RNAcentral.